This is a long non-coding RNA of Clupea harengus (Atlantic herring), 1030 nucleotides long. RefSeq lists it as uncharacterized. Lineage: Eukaryota; Metazoa; Chordata; Actinopteri; Clupeiformes; Clupeidae. The record is from RefSeq and is a predicted model, not a curated record. The transcript is spliced from 7 exons.
UUGAUAUCAUAUGCCCUAGGGAAUAUAAUUAUAUGCCUAAAUUCAAACCCAUCAUAAACAUUUUAGUUGGAUGUGCUUGCUGCUAGUUGUCCGUUUGGCUUUUGAAUUCUGAGGGACACGCGCCUACACCUCUUCAUCCAGUGUCACACAGCUAAGGUGUCUGGCAACUCUAUGUGAUUAUAGCACAUGACAAUCACUCGUGCCAAGCCACUCGCUUUAACACCUCUCAACAGGCACCCAGGGCUUUACCUUCGACUCUGUGGCGACCGAAUGACCUCAUCUCUUGGCCAAGUGGACAAUGUUCCCACGAUACAGGCGACAAGGAACUCGUGUUCGCAUGUGAGAAAUAGGGCCAUGGUCUCCAUAAGGCCUGACUGUUAAUGAGAGGUGGAGACAUAAUCUUGGCUGAGUGAGCUCUGGGAGACAACUUGGCCUUGCUGGAGUGUCUUUGUCCUUGGAGAGCCAACAACCCUGGCUGCUGAUACUGGAUCAGCUUAGGUGGUGCCCCACACCUGGUCAAGCUGAGCGUGGGGACUGGUGUGGCAGUGCACCUGUCCAGGUGGCGACCGAAUGACCUCAUCUCUUGGCCAAGUGGACAAUGUUCCCACGAUACAGGCGACAAGGAACUCGUGUUCGCAUGUGAGAAAUAGGGCCAUGGUCUCCAUAAGGCCUGACUGUUAAUGAGAGGUGGAGACAUAAUCUUGGCUGAGUGAGCUCUGGGAGACAACUUGGCCUUGCUGGAGUGUCUUUGUCCUUGGAGAGCCAACAACCCUGGCUGCUGAUACUGGAUCAGCUUAGGUGGUGCCCCACACCUGGUCAAGCUGAGCGUGGGGACUGGUGUGGCAGUGCACCUGUCCAGGUGGCGACCGAAUGACCUCAUCUCUUGGCCAAGUGGACAAUGUUCCCACGAUACAGGCGACAAGGAACUCGUGUUCGCAUGUGAGAAAUAGGGCCAUGGUCUCCAUAAGGCCUGACUGUUAAUGAGAGGUGGAGACAUAAUCUUGGCUGAGUGAGCUCUGGGAGACAACUU